AUUGAACGCUGGCGGCAUGCCUUACACAUGCAAGUCGAACGGUAACAGGUCUUCGGACGCUGACGAGUGGMGAACGGGUGAGUAAUACAUCGGAACGUGCCCAGUCGUGGGGGAUAACUACUSGAAAGAGUAGCUAAUACCGCAUACGAUSUGAGGAUGAAAGCGGGGGACCUUCGGGCCUCGCGCGAUUGGAGCGGCCGAUGGCAGAUUAGGUAGUUGGUGGGAUAAAAGCUUACCAASCCGACGAUCUGUAGCUGGUCUGAGAGGACGACCAGCCACACUGGGACUGAGACACGGCCCAGACUCCUACGGGAGGCAGCAGUGGGGAAUUUUGGACAAUGGGCGAAAGCCUGAUCCAGCAAUGCCGCGUGCAGGAUGAAGGCCUUCGGGUUGUAAACUGCUUUUGUACGGAACGAAAAAGCUUCUCCUAAUACGAGAGGCCCAUGACGGUACCGUAAGAAUAAGCACCG
RNAcentral lists this ribosomal RNA (470 nucleotides) under Delftia acidovorans. Its description in RNAcentral is "bacterial SSU rRNA". It matches the Rfam family "Bacterial small subunit ribosomal RNA", at positions 30 to 495 of the family's 1533-position model. The record is from RNAcentral. Lineage: Bacteria; Pseudomonadati; Pseudomonadota; Betaproteobacteria; Burkholderiales; Comamonadaceae.